This 502-nucleotide ribosomal RNA is filed under the name Enterobacter hormaechei subsp. xiangfangensis. Its description in RNAcentral is "bacterial SSU rRNA". It matches the Rfam family "Bacterial small subunit ribosomal RNA", at positions 1031 to 1533 of the family's 1533-position model. RNAcentral also lists the same sequence under 1 other name. Lineage: Bacteria; Pseudomonadati; Pseudomonadota; Gammaproteobacteria; Enterobacterales; Enterobacteriaceae. The record is from RNAcentral.
GAGACAGGUGCUGCAUGGCUGUCGUCAGCUCGUGUUGUGAAAUGUUGGGUUAAGUCCCGCAACGAGCGCAACCCUUAUCCUUUGUUGCCAGCGGUUAGGCCGGGAACUCAAAGGAGACUGCCAGUGAUAAACUGGAGGAAGGUGGGGAUGACGUCAAGUCAUCAUGGCCCUUACGAGUAGGGCUACACACGUGCUACAAUGGCGCAUACAAAGAGAAGCGACCUCGCGAGAGCAAGCGGACCUCAUAAAGUGCGUCGUAGUCCGGAUUGGAGUCUGCAACUCGACUCCAUGAAGUCGGAAUCGCUAGUAAUCGUGGAUCAGAAUGCCACGGUGAAUACGUUCCCGGGCCUUGUACACACCGCCCGUCACACCAUGGGAGUGGGUUGCAAAAGAAGUAGGUAGCUUAACCUUCGGGAGGGCGCUUACCACUUUGUGAUUCAUGACUGGGGUGAAGUCGUAACAAGGUAACCGUAGGGGAACCUGCGGUUGGAUCACCUCCUUA